AUUGAACGCUGGCGGCAUGCCUUACACAUGCAAGUCGAACGGUAACAGGUCUUCGGAUGCUGACGAGUGGCGAACGGGUGAGUAAUACAUCGGAACGUGCCUAGUAGUGGGGGAUAACUACCCGAAAGAGUGGCUAAUACCGCAUGAGAUCUACGGAUGAAAGCAGGGGAUCGCAGGACCGUGUGCUACUAGAUCGGCUGAUGGCAGAUUAGGUAGUUGGUGGGAUACAAGCUUACCAAGCCGACGAUCUGUAGCUGGUCUGAGAGGACGAUCAGCCACACUGGGACUGAGACCCGGCCCAGACUCCUACGGGAGGCAGCAGUGGGGAAUUUUGGACAAUGGGCGAAAGCCUGAUCCAGCAAUGCCGCGUGCAGGAUGGAGGCCUUCGGGUUGUAAACUGCUUUUGUACGGAACGAAAAGCCCCGGGUUAAUACCCUGGGGUCAUGACGGUACCGUAAGAAUAAGCACCGGCUAACUACGUGCCAGCAGCCGCCGUAA
RNAcentral lists this ribosomal RNA (498 nucleotides) under uncultured bacterium. RNAcentral's name for it is "partial 16S ribosomal RNA". It matches the Rfam family "Bacterial small subunit ribosomal RNA", at positions 30 to 523 of the family's 1533-position model. The record is from RNAcentral.